RNAcentral lists this transfer RNA (57 nucleotides) under Moorena producens 3L. RNAcentral's name for it is "Moorea producens 3L tRNA-Ala". It matches the Rfam family "tRNA", at positions 16 to 71 of the family's 71-position model. From Rfam's summary of the family: Transfer RNA (tRNA) molecules are approximately 80 nucleotides in length. Their secondary structure includes four short double-helical elements and three loops (D, anti-codon, and T loops). The record is from RNAcentral. Lineage: Bacteria; Bacillati; Cyanobacteriota; Cyanophyceae; Coleofasciculales; Coleofasciculaceae.
UGGUAGAGCACCUCAAUGGCAUUGAGGGGGUCAGCGGUUCGAAUCCGCUUAGCUCCA